Molecule: non-coding RNA, 29 nt
Filed under: Rattus norvegicus (Norway rat)
Lineage: Eukaryota; Metazoa; Chordata; Mammalia; Rodentia; Muridae
Source: RNAcentral
CUCUAUCUAGAGACAUGGUGUUCCUUUUC